This 41963-nucleotide long non-coding RNA is filed under the name Cicer arietinum (chickpea). RNAcentral describes it as "long non-coding RNA (CARI_LNC003505)". Lineage: Eukaryota; Viridiplantae; Streptophyta; Magnoliopsida; Fabales; Fabaceae. The record is from RNAcentral.
GAAGAUCAAAGUCACAAUUUGUUAUGGUCAAGGAAAAUAUACCUAAAAUUAUAAUAUAUUAUUUAGUUAUUUUUAUUCUCCAAUCAAAAUAAAUUUCAUUGGAAAAUAUAUAAAGUUACACACCAAGGGUAUUAUUCUCUAGAUCAAGUUUGCCUCCCUUCCACAACCUUAGGAUUCCAAGGAAAGCAUUCUUCAGAUUGCGGUUUUUCCAAACAAGGUCCUGAUUUAUAUAUUUUCCAAUUACAUUGGUACUUGCAUUUAUGUGUAUCUCUGGAUUCAACAUAAAUAUCAAAGUAUUGAAAUUCAUUCAGCCAUGUAAAUCUACAAAAAUAUAAGGUGUUCUCUAACAAAAACUUAGGCCUAAAAGAGAAGGUGAAAGUUUGUCCUAAACGUAGCGAUUGAAACCCAAGAUCAUGAUGUUUAUCUUUACAGUGAAGACCAAGCUGAUCGGUUAUGUUGCUGGUAAUGUAAACAUGUACAUCCUUAGUAUAUAUAGCACUUUGAGUGUCCUGAAACUGUAAAGCAACAAGAAUAGUUAGUAACAUAGAAACUAAUGACACAAUUUUGGAGCUUGAAAUCGUCAUACUUGCACAAUAGACUAAUUGAUACUCUGAUAAUGAACAUAUGACAUAUUUAUAAAGGGGACUUUUUUAUUUUAAAGGGAACUUUUUGAAAAAAAAAACUAUUAAUAUUAAUUAUUUUAAUGUAAAAAAGUUUUCGUUAAAUAAUUUACUUUAAAAUAUUAAUAGAUUUUUUUAUUUAUUUUUAUUUUGCAUUAAUUUGUUGUCAAAUAAAUAUUGAAAAAAAAUUAUUGUGAAAUAUAUAAAAAUUUAAUUUUUAACUAAUGUUUUAUUGUACAACAUUCAAAGUAAAAUCAUAUAUAAUAAAUUAGUAUACAAUAUUUUUACGCUAUUAAUUAAUAUGACUCUCCUCAAUACUAGGAUUAAAUGAGAUCUAUUUUAUUAGUUAAAAUGUAUAUAUGGGGUUCGAUUUCUCGAGUUUUAUUUUUUUUCGUGCAUUUGACAAUAAAUAUAAUAAUAAUCUUUAAUAAGUAAAACAAAAAUAAAGUUAAUUUUUUUUUUUUGAAAUACACAUUAAAAUUCACAAUUUUAUUUCUGUUUACAUGUUGCAAAUUUAUUAAUUGAAUUCAAACAUAAAUUUUCGUGAAUUCAAACAUAAAUUUUAAUUUAUAAUCAAUAUAUAGAAAUAUUUCCAGUCAAUUCAAACAUAAAUUUUAAUUUACAGUCAAUCAAAUAAUAAUAAUUUUAGUUAAUUGGAAGCCCUUGACAAUACAAUCAUUCUGGAAAAACAUGUUAGUAGACUUCCUUAUUCUACAAAAUGAAAUAAUUAAUAAUAUAAUAUAAUAUAAUAUAAUAUAAUAUAAUAUAAUAUAAUAUAAUAUAAUAUAAUAUAAUAUAAUAUAAUAUAAUAUAAUAUAAUAUAAUAUAAUAUAAUAUAAUAUAAUAUAAUAUAAUAUAAUAUAAUAUAAUAUAAUAUAAUAUAAUAUAAUAUAAUAUAAUAUAAUAUAAUAUAAUAUAAUAUAAUAUAAUAUAAUAUAAUAUAAUAUAAUAUAAUAUAAUAUAAUAUAAUAUAAUAUAAUAUAAUAUAAUAUAAUAUAAUAUAAUAUAAUAUAAUAUAAUAUAAUAUAAUAUAAUAUAAUAUAAUAUAAUAUAAUAUAAUAUAAUAUAAUAUAAUAUAAUAUAAUAUAAUAUAAUAUAAUAUAAUAUAAUAUAAUAUAAUAUAAUAUAAUAUAAUAUAAUAUAAUAUAAUAUAAUAUAAUAUAAUAUAAUAUAAUAUAAUAUAAUAUAAUAUAAUAUAAUAUAAUAUAAUAUAAUAUAAUAUAAUAUAAUAUAAUAUAAUAUAAUAUAAUAUAAUAUAAUAUAAUAUAAUAUAAUAUAAUAUAAUAUAAUAUAAUAUAAUAUAAUAUAAUAUAAUAUAAUAUAAUAUAAUAUAAUAUAAUAUAAUAUAAUAUAAUAUAAUAUAAUAUAAUAUAAUAUAAUAUAAUAUAAUAUAAUAUAAUAUAAUAUAAUAUAAUAUAAUAUAAUAUAAUAUAAUAUAAUAUAAUAUAAUAUAAUAUAAUAUAAUAUAAUAUAAUAUAAUAUAAUAUAAUAUAAUAUAAUAUAAUAUAAUAUAAUAUAAUAUAAUAUAAUAUAAUAUAAUAUAAUAUAAUAUAAUAUAAUAUAAUAUAAUAUAAUAUAAUAUAAUAUAAUAUAAUAUAAUAUAAUAUAAUAUAAUAUAAUAUAAUAUAAUAUAAUAUAAUAUAAUAUAAUAUAAUAUAAUAUAAUAUAAUAUAAUAUAAUAUAAUAUAAUAUAAUAUAAUAUAAUAUAAUAUAAUAUAAUAUAAUAUAAUAUAAUAUAAUAUAAUAUAAUAUAAUAUAAUAUAAUAUAAUAUAAUAUAAUAUAAUAUAAUAUAAUAUAAUAUAAUAUAAUAUAAUAUAAUAUAAUAUAAUAUAAUAUAAUAUAAUAUAAUAUAAUAUAAUAUAAUAUAAUAUAUAUAUAUAUAUAUAUAUACUUUGAAAUAUGGAUAGAUUUAUUUUUUUAGUUAGUGAGUUGUUCUCAAAUUAUUAUUGUGCUAUUUUAAUGUGUCGCGUGCGAGAUUGUUAUUAACUUUAUAGGUUAAUUUAUUUUUAAAUAAUUUAUUUGACCUUUGCAUUAAUUUAUUUGACACUUAAUUAGUUUGACUUUUGAAUAUAAAAUAAAUAAUUUAUUUUUAGAGUAAAAUAGAUAUUUUUAUUUAUUUUUUAAUGUGCUUUAAUUUGUUAUCAAAUGAAUAUGUAAAAAAAAAUUAUUUAUUGUGAAAUAUGUAAAUUUUUAAUUUUUAAUUAAUGUUUUGUUGUGCAACAUUCAAAGUAAAAUUAUAUAUAACAAAAUAUAGAAUAGAUUAGUAUAAAACAUUUUUACUUUGUCAAUUAAUCGUAACCUUUCCUCUAUAUUCGGAUUAAAUGAGAUCUAUUUUAUUAGUUAAAAUGUAUACGUGACGUUUCGAUUCCUCGAAGAGUUUUCUUUUCCCGUACAUUUGACAAUAAAUACAAUAAUAAUCUUUAAUAAGUAAAACAAAAAUAAAGUUAAACUAUUUUUUUUUUUUUUGGAAUACACAUUAAAAUUGACAAUUUUAUUUCAGUUUAUACGUGGCAAACUUAUUAAUUGAAUUCAAACAUAAAUUUAAGUCAAUUCAAACAUAAAUUUUAAUUUACAGUCAAUCAAAUAAUAAUUAAAUUAAUUAGAUAAUCAAUAUCAAUCAAAAUAUGAAAUAAAUAAAAAAGAAAGUUAAUGCAUUUAAUAUCAUAUAAAACUCAAGUCAAAUAAAAAUAAAAAUUGUAAUUGUGGCCCAUGAUUUCAACAAUAGAGUUUAAUUUAAGUCAUAAUCAAGUUACUUAUUAAAAAUAAAUAAAAUUCAAAGAAAAAUUAUAUAUCAAAAUUAAAAAAUAAAUUUCAACUUCAUAAUAUUUUAAAAAGGCUCUAAAUGCAGGUCACUUCAAUUUGUAUUUAAUGAGAGAUUAUAAAUUUUAACAAACAAUAUUAAAAAAAUAUGUUUUGAGACAUGUAAAUAAUUAAUUGACUUCACGUAUUCUAUAUUAGAAUCCAACAAUCAAAUAAUCAUAUUGUAAAAGAAAUGACUAUUUUGUUACACCAACAUCCCUUAUAUAUGUUCAUUAUUUUGUAUACUGACUUACAAAAUAUAGAGUUGGACGUCAUAACACAAAAUGAUAUAUAUUUUUAUGAGUGAAUACUAAUUUGUGUUUGACACUGAUCAAUUAUUAUAUUUUAUUUAAUUAUGAAAUUUAUCUAAAAUAUUUCAUAUAAUUUAUGUAAAUUUAUCGUUAUUAGUAUUUGUUUAAUUAAUUUUUUAUUUAAAAAAUUAACAUUACAAGUACAAUCACAAAUACAUAUUUCAUGAGGAGACCUCAUUUAUUUAUUUAUUUAUAUGAAUUCAACUUGUGUAAUCGUGUUUGAAGUGAGGGUCUUAUGUUUGAGUUUGAAGACUGCCUUUGAAGAAUAACUCUGAAAUUGAGUCUGAAGACUGAAUUUGAAACAUGUCUCUGAAGUCCUUCCAUGUCUCUGAUUUGCACAAACUCAACAUGUCUUUGAAAAAUUCAUAUCAAUGUAUAACUAACUCUAAAGAGAUUGUUCAAAUCGUAAAUUCAAAACUCACAAUACGCUGAUCAAAAUGGUGCAACACACUUCAAAUGUUGCUUUUGAUAUGCAACCUCUCUAAUGUUGCACUGACUCUAAAGUUUCAACUAGGUAAUUUUUCCAAUGACAAUAUUUCUAAGUCAUGCAAUGCUGCCUCUGAUUAUCAUUAUUCAAGAAACACAACAUCUCACUCCAACAAGAAAGUCAAUGCCUUUGAUGGAAAGUCAUUGACUGAAAUUGAAAGAAUUAAAAACUUGCGAAGAUCCAAGAAUGACUUGAAUUCAUUCCAACUCAAAUCAAACAAAAGUAUGAAAAAAGAUUUGUGUUUUUGAAGACAAUCUAAAAAAAAGAUUUGAUUCAAAUUUAUUAUUGACGAAAAUCUCUGACAAAGUUUACAAGAAGAUUUGAUCAAGAUUUAUCACAAGAAGAUAUGAAUUAUUUACAAGAACAUUUAAUAAAUAUUUAUCUCCAAGAAGAUACGAAUUACUUACAAGAAGAUUUGAUCCAAAUUUAUCUACAAAGAGAUAUGAAUUAUUUACAAGAAGAUUUGAUCAAUAUUUAUCACAAGAAGAUAUGAAUUAUUUACAAGAAGAUUUGAUCAAGAUUUAUCAACAAGAAGAUAUGUAUUAUUUACAAGAAUAUUUGAUCAAGAUUUAUCUACAAGAAGAUAUGUAUUAUUUACAAGAAGAUUUGAUCAAGAUUUAUCUACAAGAAGAUAUGCAUUAUUUACAAGAAGAUAUGAUCAAGAAUUGUUUGUUUCAAAAAAAAUGAUCAAGAAUUAUUAAUAAGAAGAUACAUUUAUUAUUUGCAAAGAAAUUAUUCAGAUUUUGCAAGGACAAAGAAGAAAUCCUCACCUAUUAUAUAGAUAGAUACUCAAGGCUGAAGAAGAAGAUAAGAGAACUUACAAGCACACAGUUCCUAAGUCAUUAGAGUUCAUAAGGUUCUGGAUUAGAGAAACCAAUUACCUAAGUCAUUAUUACAAUUAGCUUGUUAUAAGCAAAGGGAUUUGUUCCAAAAUCUUGUAACCCAGCCCGAUAAUGGCUUUCAUGUUCCUCAAGAAAACUAUCCAGGUUGUGUUGAGAUGACUUGGCUUGUAGAGUCAAGGUGUUUGUAUUACGCAAAAAGUUUAUAAGUGUUAGUUUUUUUUUAGAAGACUAGCUUGUAGGGUCAGAUGAUGUGUAAUUCAAAUUUUGAAUUAGUGGAUUAAAUUCGUCUGAGUAAGGGGACUGGACGUACCUAUCAAGUUGGUGGUGAACUAGGAUAAAUUUUGGUGUCACUUUAAUUAUGCAAUUCUUGUUUUACUUCUAAUUCUGAUCACUUAACCCGAUUGCUACUACUUUAAUUCUAAGUAAGUCACCAAACCUGAACCAAUUUUAAAUAAUUUAUCAAAAAGGAUCCAACUAAGUCAAACACAAUUCAAUCCCUCUUCUCGUGUUUGCACCUUCACUAAGAACUAGAUGGAAACCUGUCUUGCAUGUCUUAAAUGUCCCAUUAGCCUUUUUGAUAAGGUAUUUCUAGUAGAUUUAGUUUUUAUACCCCUUAAUGGCCUAAACAUUAUCCUAAGGAAGGUUUGGAUGCCAUAAAAGUUUGUAAGCUGGUUUGUCAUUGUAACGAGGUCAUAAUCCCUCCUAAUAUUCUCCAAUUGGAGGAACCAUUAAUUUCUUCCUCAACUCAAAAUGAUUUAAAUUCAACACUUUAAUUCUUUAACAAAUUAACUUUUUAGUUAGGUUUGCAUUUUCUUUUGUAAGUGUUUUUUAGUUUUAAAGAAAUUUUUGAUUCUUAUUUAAAAAAUUAUUUAUAGCAGUAAUUAAAUCAAAUCGAGUAAAGUUAGAAAAUACCUCAAUUUCUUCAUAUGUCAAUCUACUUCCAGGGUCAUAAUCUGUGUUGGAUCCAGAGGUAGAGUUGGUAUGACCAAUUAGAGCCAAAUAUAUUUGUUCAUCGUUAGAGGAUUCAUCAUAAUCAUCCCAUGUAGCCAUAUGACUCUUCUUCUGAGAUCUGGAAUAUUUCCUCUAGUGUUUCCCUUUCUCCAGAUUUGGACAGUCUGACUUGAUAUGUCCAGGUUCAUUGCAUCCAUAGCAAAUAAUGUUUUUCUUGUAAAAAUUUCAUCCUUUCCUCUAUUGGACUUCUUAAGAUCUUUUUGAGGAAAAGAUUUCCUCUUGUUGUGCCACAUCCUCUGAAUUCUUCUAGAUAUGAAGGCAAUUUCCUCUUCAUCUAAGUUCAGAUUCUGAUCAUUUGAAUCACUAUCCUCUGAUUCUAAUGUUUCCUUUAGAACCUUCUUCUCUUUGGAUUUCAAGGCCAGAGUCUUGUUCUUCUUCUUAGGCUCAUAUUCUUCAAGCUCAAUUUCAUGUGAUAUGAGAUUGCUGGUUAAUUCUUCCAGCUUAAGAGUAUUUAGAUCAUUUGCUUCUUGAAUGAUAGUAAUCUUAGAUCUCCACUUUAAUCCUGAUACCAGAGUUUGGAAUAUGAAAAACAUUAUGUGAAUGUCUUCAUCUUCUUCCAUCUCGAACAACUCAUAUUUUUUUGACUGGGAGGUUGGUCUUUACUUCUUGAACUUGCUUGCUUCUUUCAUAGGUCAUAAUCAAACUAUCAUAAAUACUCUUUGUCAAACUCUUUAUUGGUGCACUUGUCAAACUCCAUGAAGGUGAUUGCAUUUAUCAUAAUUGUUCUGGACUUAUGAUGCAUCUUAUACAUUUUCUUUUGAUCAUCAUUCAUCUAUUUUCUUUGAAUUUCAAUACCGUCAGUAUUCUUUGGAGUAGUAUGACCAUAUUCCACCAAGUCCCAAAGUUCAUGAUCUUGUGAAAUAAAUAAACUUCUCAGCCUAUCCUUCAGUACUCAAAAUAUUCUCCAUCAAACAGAGGUGGUCUAUUACUGAAUCAAAUGUCACUAUUUUUUCUCUUUUUUGUUUGUUUGUUUGUUUAUUUGUUAACCUUGAUCAUAAAAACCAAGCCAUAAACACAUAGCUCAAAUUUCUACUUAUUCAAGUGAGUUAGGUCACACCAAGCCUUAAACUCUCAUCCAAAUUCUUCUUGCACUAGAAAAACACAUCUACAUAUAAUAUAAAUCUACUUAAACUCCCCAUUGAUUAAAUAAUUCUUACUAAUAACUUUAUGAACUACAAUAAAUCGAACAAGGCAAAUAAUUAUCAUAUAUAAUUUAACAUUGAAUAAUAUUGAUAUGUUCUAAUUAUUUUAAACAAUAAAUUUAGAGGAUGUUACAAGCAUCAAUUGCUCAAGUACCAUGAUUGGUGCUUUAACUUGAUUCAUGAAGACAUCUACAACACACACCAUUUUGGUUUUAGGUACACAAAUUUGGUUAGGUCUUGGUAUGUUAGGGACAAUAUAAUUUGGAGUGACCUUUAUAAGAGCAAGCAUUACACAAGAUAUCAAAUGGAAUAGGUUUAGGUUCAAUUACAAUUUCUUUAACUCCUAGACCUCUUUUACCAUUUCUACUAUGUCCAUAAAUCAUAGAAGCAUACUUGUUUUAACUUCAGCACUUUGAUUCUUUAAAACAUUAAUUUCUUUAGUUAGGUUUGCAUUUUCAUUCCUAAGUUUUAUAUUUUAAAGACAAUUUUUUAUUCUUGUAGACGUCAUUUAUAACAGUAAUUAAAUCAGAUCGAGUUAAGUUAGAAAAUACCUCAAUUUUUCAUCUGUUGAUUAACUUCUAGAGUCAGAGUUUGUGUGGCAUCUAGAAGUAGAGUUGCAAUGAGCCAUUAGAGCCAAAUCCGCUUGUUGUUCGUCAUUAGAGGAUUCAUCAUAAUCACCCUUUGUAGCCAUCAAACUCUUCUUCGUUAGUUUGGAAUUAUUCCUUUGAUGUUUCCUUUUCUCCAGAUUUGGACAUUGUGAUUGAUAUAUCCAAGCUUAUUACAUCCACAACAGAUACUUAUUUUUAUUUUCAAACUUAUCAUUAUUUCCUAUGCUGAACUGCUUGGAAUAUCUUUGGGGAAAUUUCUUCUUUCUGUUGUGCCACAUCUUCUAAAUUUUUUUGGAUAUGAAAGUCAGUUCCUCUUCCUCUAAGUCUCUAUUUUGAUCCUCUAUAUCAUCAUCCUUUGAUUUUGUUGUUGCCUUCAGUAUUUUCUUCUACUUGGAUUACAAAGUCAAGGUUGGUUGCUUCUUCUUGGACUUAUCCUCUGCAAGUUCAAUUUCAUAUGAUUUGAGAAAGUUGAUUAAUUUUUCAAGCUUAAGAGUAUUAAUAUCCUUUUUCUUCUUGAAUGGCAGUGAUAUUAGGUCUCCACUUGCUUUGCAGACUUCUUAGUAUGUUCUUCACAUGAUUAUAAAUAGUAUAACUUUUCUCAAGUGUCUUGAAUCCUUAUACCAGAGUCUGGAAUUUGGAAAACAUUGUUUCAAUUUCUUCAUCUUCUUCCAUCUUGAACAACUCAUACUUUUUGACUACAAGGUUGACCUUUGCUUAUUGAACUUAUUUGCCUCCUUCUUAGGUCAUAAUCAACCUAUUACAAAUACUUUUUAUUGUCUCCUUGUUGUUUCACUUGUCAAACUCCUUGAAAGUAAUUAUAUUUAUCAUGAAUGUUCUAUACUUAUGAUGCAUCUUGUACAUCUUCUAUUCAUUAUCCAUUUCUUUCCUUAGAAUCUCAACACCAUCGAUAUUGUUUGGAGCAAUAUAACCAUCUUCCACCAGAUCCAAAAGUUUAGGAUCUUGUGAAAUGAAGAAAUUUCUAAGCCUAUUCUUCUAUUACUUAAAAUGUUCUCCAUCAAAUAGAGGUGAUAUGUUGAUGUUUUCUCCAACAGCUUCUUUACUAAAUCCAUACAUGUUGAACCCUUAGAUUAAGCAACCCCCAAGUUUUGAAAGCUCUGAAUUUCCAUACAGUGUUUAAACUUAAGAAAUCAAUGUAUAGUCUAAAAAAAGCACCUAUGGCAUGGUAUGAUAGAUUAAGUAAUUUCUUGCUUAAUAACAAUUUUGAAAAAAGACAAGCAGACACCACCUUGUUUAGAAAAUCAAUAAGAGAUGACAUUCUUAUAAUUUAAAUUUAUGUUGAUUACAUUAUUUUUGGAUAUACUAAUGGAAUUUCAAAUGGCCAUGAUAGGAGAACUGAUGUUCUUCUUAGGGAUACAAAUUCAUGAAAGUUAGAAGGGCAUAUACAUUCCUCAAAGCAAGUAUACAAAAGAGCUUCUCAAGAAUUUUAAGAUGAAUGAUUGCAAAUUAUGGCUACACCAAUGCACCAUAUUUGCUCAUUGGAAAAAGAUGAAUCAGGCCAAAAGGUUGACAAGAAAACAUACAGGGGAGUCAAGUAAUAAAAUCCGAUAAAUUGUUAUAAAAAAUAACAGUUUUUGUCAUUAUCAAAAAAGGGGAGAUUAUAGGAACCAAGUUGGUUUUUCUCUAGUGAUUUUGAUGUUAGCAAAGGUAUUUUAGGAGAAUAGUUUUUUUGGACUAAUGACUUCACUAAGUGUGCAACAAUCAAAACAAGGAAAUCAGAGGAAUGUACCAGAGGAAGCGGCCAAAGGAUGAGAUUAGAGGAACACAAAAGCAUACGCAUUUGCCUCUGAACAUAUGCCUCUAUAAGCAACGUGUCUUUGAAGGUUACAAAGACCGCCUCUAAUGUUUGGCUCUGAUAACUGGGUUUGAAGAUUGCCUAUGAAGAAUAAAUUUGAAGCAUGUCUCUAAAGUCCUUGUGUGCUUCUAAAGUGCACAAAAUCAACAUAACUCUAAAGAGAUUUCAAGCCAUGCAUUCAAAUCUCAUAUUUUGCGAAUCAAAAGUUGUAACACACUUAAAAUGUUACCUCUAAUAUGCAGCCUCUGAUGUUGCACUAACAGUGAUGAUUCAACAAUGUGAUUUUCCCAAAGCCAUUAAUUCUAAGUCACACAAUUCAGCCUCUGACUUUUAUUAUCCAAGAAACAUAGCAUUUCACUCUAACAAGAAAGUCAAUGGCAUUAAUGGAAAGUUAGCGACUCUGAUUGAAAGAAUUCAUUCUGAAGAAAAGACAUAGCUGAAUCAGAAUUUUUGAAUAUUUAAAAAUAAGGUCGAAUUAAUUCUCGCUCCAAUCAAUCAAGAGUAUGAAGUAUUAUACGAGUAAAUAAGUUUUGGAACACAAUAUGAAAUUAUAUUUGAUUCAGAAUUAUAAUUGAAUGGAUUCUUUGACCAAAGUGAAAAAAUGAUAUGGCCAAAAUAUUGUUCACAAGAAGAUGUGGUAAAAAUAUUGUUUACUAGAAGAUAUGGUCAAAAUAUUGUUCACAAGAAGAUAUGGCCAAAAUAUUGUUCAAAAGAAGAUAUGGCAAAAAUAUUGUUCAAAAGAAGAUAUGGUCAAAAUAUUGUUCACAAGAAGAUAUGCUCAUAAUUGGUUUACAAGAAGAUAUGCUCAUAAUUUGUUCAUAAAAAGAUAUGCUCAUAAUUUGUUCACAAGAAGAUACAUUCAAAAUCUGUUCACAAGAAAUAUAUGAUCUAGAAUUGUUUACAUCUGCUUGUGUCACUUAACUUUUGCACUAUUUAUUUUAUUGUUGCCUCUGAUUUCUUAAGCAUGAUUGGUACUAACUAUGUUUUAGUUAAAAUCUCCAAAAUAUCAGAGGAUGCAACGUGAACUCGUAUAGGAUAACCUGAUAUGGAAACUGCACAAUAAAAAAGAACAUUAGUGCAGUAAAUUAUUCACACAAAAUAAUUUUGUUAUCAUUAAAACAAGUAAGGGACAAGAAAGUUGAUAAAGUUAGCAAGAGAAAUUAAUAUGAAAUGGGAGAAAUGACAUUUCCCAUAAAAUUGUUCUCAAAAACAUAUUAUCCUCCUUUUGUCAUCCGACAAAAAGUUUAAGACAAAAAAAUAAAAAAAGACACACAGCAACACAUAAAAAAUACAAGGAACUAUAGAUUUGGGUUGGUCAACCUAGCUAAGAUUAAAUUUAGGGUAGUAUGAAUGUCCUUCUGAUUCUUAGUUGUUUAUUCUAUGAAUGCUUCAGUCUUAACUUCUAGGUGAUCAAAGUCUUGUUUUUUGACAUACAAGGAAGGAUCGAGCACGAGGCCAAAAGGACUGGUAGAUUAACUUCCGAAGGAAAAUUAUGCAGAUCUUGGAGAAGUAGUAAGAGGAGCAUCAAGUGGGUACCUUAAUCUGUGGAAUAAGCAUAUGGAAGUAUUAUAGUGCUGAUGGAGAAACCACUAGAAGUUCCAGAUGAACACCACUUGAAGGAGAUAGGUUGUCCCUUGAUGAGCCCUUUGACGUGGCUGUUAUAAGCUUUUUGGACGAAUUGCUUUGGGCUUUAUAAAGCUACAAGAUGUAGAGUUAUGGGAGGCCAACUACAUUCCAUGAUCCAUGUUGUCCCUUAUCAAGUUGGUGACAAACGAGAGGACCUUGUUCUACUGGCUUGAAACAUGAAUAAGAUUCAAACUUUGAGCAUUCCAAUUAUGGGCUAAAGUGAUUUUGGAAAUAAGAGAAGUAAUGAAUGAGUCGAUGUUUGGGAAGCCUGAAGGAAUGAAGUGUGUGAGUUGACUGAGGCUUAGAGGGAUGGUGGAGGUAGCAUAUUCAAAGUAAAAAGGAGUUGAUGGAGAUGCAAAAGAGUCUUCUAAUGAUGUAUAAGAGACUAAAUCAAUUAUGACUUAAGUUGUUGUGUCAUUUUUUAUGUGUGUGUUUUUGUUAUGGUCGUUAUUAUGUUAGUGGUGUAGAACUAAGUUAGAUUCCCCUUUUUCCCUAAGUGUCUAACUAUAUUCGAUUAGCCUAUUUGAUUUAUGUAGGUAAUGAUGGCUAAUGGAAGGAAUGAAGUUGCAAUUGUUGAGGCUGUAGAGUCCAUGGCAAAAGUUACAAUGCAGGCUCUCCAAGGGUUGGUUGAAUCCCAAGCUACUGCUUAAGCCUCUGCCCAAGUUGCUACUCAAGCUACACGUGUUGCUGCUCAAGCUAGUGCUUAAUCUGGUGGUCAAGGAAAUGUGUAAACAAAUGAGUUCAAGGUGAUGGAUCAAUUCCAUAAGGCUAACCCUCCAUCGUUUGAAGGUAACUAUAACCUAGAUGGAGCUCAGAAAUGGUUGCAAGAGAUUGAGAAAAUAUUCAGAGGAGUGGCAUGUCCCGAAGAUCAAAAAGUGCAUUUGGGAACCUUUCUGUUGAUAGAAGAAGCUAAACAUUGGUGGGCAAUGCUCGUCAACAUUUAGAUAAUACAGAACUGCAAUUAUUUGGGUUAUAUUCAGAAAAAUGUUCGGAAUUUGAUAAAUUUGAACAACAAAAUAUGUUAAUGGCAGAGUACGCCGCUAGUUUGAAGAGUUGUUUAGGUACUAUCCAUUCUACGUUGGAGAGGCAGGAGAAAAGUCUAAGUGCAUCAAGUUCGAAAAUUGUAAUCAGACCAAAAAUCAAGAAGCAGGUGGGAAUGGAAGAGAUCUGUGACUUUCCUACCCUAAUGAAUAAGAGUAGGAUUUAUGAUGAGGAUAUGCGUGUUGAAAAGGUGCAUUUCUAAAACAUUGGACCCGUGAAGGACAAGAAGCCUAUGCAUCANNNNNNNNNNNNNNNNNNNNNNNNNNNNNNNNNNNNNNNNNNNNNNNNNNNNNNNNNNNNNNNNNNNNNNNNNNNNNNNNNNNNNNNNNNNNNNNNNNNNNNNNNNNNNNNNNNNNNNNNNNNNNNNNNNNNNNNNNNNNNNNNNNNNNNNNNNNNNNNNNNNNNNNNNNNNNNNNNNNNNNNNNNNNNNNNNNNNNNNNNNNNNNNNNNNNNNNNNNNNNNNNNNNNNNNNNNNNNNNNNNNNNNNNNNNNNNNNNNNNNNNNNNNNNNNNNNNNNNNNNNNNNNNNNNNNNNNNNNNNNNNNNNNNNNNNNUUCCCUCAUAGUAAAUCUAGAAGUCGUCCGAAUUAUCAACAACAAGGUUCUUCAGUUUGAAGAGGAAAUGGUAAUAAUGAAAUGAAAGGAAACAUAAACAGUUAUAGUUAUGGGGGUGGUAGAGAAAACCCCAAUGAAUGAGGAGUUAGUAACAUGAAUAACAACAACAUAGCCCAAGUCUCGAGCAACAACAGUGGUAAUAAUGGUGAUCCAGCUACUCCUAUCCGAUGUUAUAGGUGUGGUAACCAGAGUCAUAUGGCAUCUGAGUGCAAGGAUGUUGCAAUUACUUAUUUUAAUUAUCAACAACAAGGCCACACAUCUUCAUUGCAUGCCUUAAUCCAAAGAAGACCCCACAACAAGGAAACCAACGUUCCCAAGCCAGGUGACCUAAAUCUAAUGGAAGAGUUUUUCCUCUUAAUAAUGUAGAAGCGUCUGAGAAAGACAAUUUAUCCAAGGUACGUGUCUCAUAAGUGAUACUCCUUUAUUUGUGCUAUUUGAUUGUGUUGCCACUCAUUCCUUUGCGUCUCUUGAUUGUGUUAGAUGUUUAGGACUACUUGUGUCUCAUUUAUAGUAUGAUUUGAUUGUGAAUACCCUUACUAGUAAUUUUGUUGACACCUCUAGUGUUUUUCUUGACAUUCCUAUCCAUGUGUGUGAAAGGGACUUCCGAGUUGACUUAGUGUGUUUACCUUUGCGUCUAGUCGAUGUGAUUUUCAGUAUGGAUUGGCUAUCUGAUAACCAUGUCUGUGUAUAUUUUUUUUUUUAAUAAAACCAUUAAAUUCAUGGAGCCAUAAGAAAAUGAGAAGCCCUGCAAUAUGUCCGCCAACCAAGUGACGGUACUCUAGAAAGUAGAUGCCCAAUUAUAAAUGAUCCUAGCCUAAUUAGAAUUUGAAGAAAAAGUGGUAGUACAACAUGUUCGUAUUGUGUGUGAUUUUCCUGAAGAUGUGAAUAGUUUGCCACUAGAGCGUGAGACUGAAUAGCAUUGAUCUUGUACCAGGUAUUGGAUCCAUAUCCAUGGCACUAUAUAGUAAGAUUGACUUGAGAUUGGGUUAUCAUCAUAUUCGAUUAUAGUUUUCUGAUGUCCCUAAAACUGCCUUUAGGACCCAUUAUGGCCAUUAAGAGUAUUUGGUUAUGCCUUUUGGUAUGACUAAUGCAUCAGCAGUGUAAGGUAGAACACCAAAAACCUUUAGGCUUGAUAUUUUGGAGGCCUAGAAUGAAAAAAAGACGUUGUUGAGUUUGUGUAAGCUUGUUUGAUUUGUUAGAAGUCUAACGUAAAACACCAGAAACUUUCAGGCUUGAUGCAACCUUUGAGUAUUCCCGAAUGGAAGUGGGAUAAUAUCUUUAUGGAAUUUGUUGUAGGCGGGCUUACCUGGAACCCCUAAAAGGUAUGAUAGUAUUUGGGUUAUUGUGGAUAGACUAACUAAAUCUGCUCAUUUUAUCCCAAUGAACAUAACUUAUUUUAUGGAAAAGUUAGUUGAACUAUACAUAUAUGAAAUUGUGAAUUUGCAUGGUGUAACACCUCGAAUUUUUGAACCAAAACAUUACUUAAAAAUACUUAUUGCUUAGAAAAAUUACAACAUUUUUUUUAAUUAUUUAAGUAAGGAUACCUAAAUUACUAUUCAUUUAAUUAAUUAGUAAACCUUAAACCCCAAAACAAUAUACAUAAUAAUUUAUAUUAUAUUUUUACUAAAAUUAACAGCGGAUAAAUAAAAACUCCUUAAAAAAUAAAGAAACAUUUAUGAGUUAUUAAGAUAUCACGUUUCUCAAAAUAUACAUUAGAAUACUUUUGACUUUUUCCUCCUAUAGUAUAGUGCAAUCUCAAUAAACUUGAUUUAACUAUAAUUUCUUAAUUUAAUUCCAAACACUUAGUAAUACUUGUAUGGUUUUCAUACAAAAAUUCGUUUUUAAUUAAAUAAGUUAAAAACAACUUCAAGACUCAUUAACCUGUAAUAACUGCAAUUUCGCAAACACAUGGUCAAACCAAUCAAACACAAACAAUGAAGGAUGUGAGUUUUAAAAUCAUGUUGAUAGUAUAAUAUAAGUAAAUAGAACACGCAAAUAAUCAACACAGAGCCGUAUCAACUACAUCACAAUAUAUCAAAACAUUCAAGGAAGUAAUCAUAUUAUAGAGUCAAAAUCACUUAAGGAAAAUCAAUAUCUCAUCAUAACAUCAACUCAUCUAAGAGAAAUUCUUAUCACAUUAGAUACACAUUAACCACAACAAAACAAUCACAGGAUGGUGCAAUUCUAUAGAUGCUUUUGAUAACUAUAUGAUCUAGAUAUAAUACCUGCCACAAAGAUAACUUCCACAUUGAAAAUCACUCAUAAUAAUGGGGAAAAAUAAAUCUUCCAUGAAGACAACGUAAAUAUUUAAUUUUUAUUUAAUAUUUUUUUGUACAAUAUUCAAGGAAAAAUUACAUGUAACUAAAUAUAAAAUAGAUUAAUCACAACAAGAAAACAAGCAUUUUGUGAGGGCUUUUGCCCUCACAAAGGGGUAUAAUCAGCCACAAAGGUGGCUUUUGUGAGGGCUUUUGGCAGCCACAAAGAAGCUGGUCACAAAAUUUUGUGAGGGCUUUUGCAGCCACAAAGUGCCAGAAACAGGUUGACAUUUGUGAGGGCUUUUGCAGCCACAAAAGAGAGGCAUUUGUGAGGGCUUUUGCAGCCACAAAAGUCUACUUUUGUGAGGGCUUAGGCGGCCACAAAGGACAGACUGAUUUUGAAAUCAACUUUUGUGAGGGCCCAGGCCGCCACAAACUCCCUCCUUUGUGAGGGCUUAGGCCGCCACAAAUGACCUCCAAAUUAAAAAAAAAUAUUUUGUGAGGGCUUAGGUCGCCACAAAAUAUUACGUAUAUUAAAAAAUUAAUUUUUUUAAAUUCAAAAUUAAUUCUGUAUUAUAAUUUUAUAUAUAAUAAAUUAAUAUAAAUAUAAAUUUAAAAUUUAAAUUUAAAUUGUAAUUAAAUUAAAAUUAUAAUUAAAUUAUAAUUAUAAUUAAAUUUAAAAUAUAAUAUCAUUAUAAAAUAAAUUUAAUAUAUAAUAAACUAAUCUGAAUAUAAUUAAAAAUUAAAAUUAAAUUUAAAAUAAAAUAUUUAAAUUAUAAUUAUAAUUAAAGAUUAAUUUAAAUUACAAAUAAAAAAAUUAAAAUUAAAUUAAAAUUUAAAUAAAAUUAAAAUUAAAUAUUAAAAUAAAAAUAAAUAUUAUAUAUAAAAAUAUAAUAUUAAUAAUAAUUAAAUUAAUUACCACAAAAUCAAAUAAAACAUGCAUUCCAAAAUUAACAAAUAAUGUCUUACAAACCCAAAAUUUAUAAAUAAUGUCUUACAAACGCAAAAUUAAACACACAAUAAUUAACUAAGACAACAUAAUUAAUAUGUGUUCAUACAACCCAAAAAUAAAUUAUGAAAUUAUUCAGAUGACAUCAAUCCUCAUAAUAAUUCCUCUGAUCAGCUCCACUCACACCAUCAUUAUGUCCUGCCAUGCCCGACGAAAGAAGUCCCUCAAAAGUAUUAUGAAUUUGUGUUGGAGGAGACAUCAUGGUUUGAAAUUGAAUUUCAUCUUCAAUGGCACCACCACUAGUCGAAUGAGGAGCCCUAGCUGGUUGAGGUUGAUUUAAAUCUGGUCUGAUCAACCCAGCUGUUGGCAUAGUUGGUCGGUAUGCAGUUUGAUGAUCUGGUUGAGGUUGAGGAAUUUGAUGUGAAGAGGACGGAACAUACGGAUAAUUAUGAAAAUAUUGUUGUUGUUGAAACAUUGGCGGCUGCUGCUGUACUUGCUGGAAGGCAGAGUUCGGAGGAUCCUGGUGUUGCUGUUGGAAAUUUGGAGGCGGUUGCUGCUGCUGGGAGUAUUGAGAGUAAUUUUGUUGCUGCUGGAAUAGUGGUUGUUGAGGCAAGUAUUGAGGCCGAGGCGGGAACUGCUGAUGAAACACAGGAGGAAAUGAAAAUUGUUGUUGUUGAAAUUGUUGUUGUUGCUGCUGAAACUGCUGCUGCUGCUCUUGAAACUUUUGUUUCCACUCCUCAUUCAAUUUAUCAAUUGCGGCUUGUAUCAGCUGUUGUGUCUUUUCUUCUUGCUCACUUGCCCAUUGCUUCUUUAACUGGUCAAGAUCAUUAUCUAUCGACGGACGAUGAGAUCGAUCCGUACUAGCAUAAGAAGAAGACGUCUCAGUCUGAAUAUAGCCGGUUGGACCUUUCUUAAAGGUUGAUGAUAAACUACCGGCACCCAGCACACGCCCUUUGUACUUGCCACCACUGAUGUGCAUAAAACUUGCGGUCUCAUAUUGUUUCCGCUGCACUGGACCAGCUCGCUGAGCAGGAGGAAGAGUAGCUUGAUGAUCAUCCCAUUCUUUCAUGAUUUGUUGAAGUUGUUCCUAUAUUAAAAAUAAAAAAAUAAAAUAGUUAAUAAUUAAUAUAUAAUAAUUUAUAGGUCUAAUUAAUAUAUAACAAUUAAUAUAUAAUAAUUACCUGAAUAUUUUUUGAUAAUUCAUCAGUAUACUCAUUUGUUUCAGGAUUAACAUGAAGAUAGCGAUGUAUCUCAGCCUGAGUGACCUCCCUUCCAAGUUGCUUUUCCUAAAAUAUUAAAUUAAUGUCAAGUUUAUAAGUUGGUGAAAUGUGAUGAUUAAUUGAAUAUAAAUUAAUAGAUAUAUAUUAUAAAUAAUAAUAAAUUACCAUAUAAUAUUUAAUUUCUCCAGCAGACAUGGAACCUCCCUUAUGAGUACUGGUACCCCUCUCAGAUGCUCUAUUAGUCUUUGCUUUUUCUCUCUUCUGUUUGUAAGCAUCUGUGUUCCAUUUCCUCCACAAAGCAGUCCAAACAUUUUCACCAAUCCAAUUAGGCCGUUUUUCCUCCCCCUUAUUACGUGCGUAAGCCAACAUAGAUGAGAGACGCUUUGAAAAGCGAUGGUCAAAUGAAGCCAAAACUGCGGCAUCAUGCUCUCUUUUCCAAGUGCAUUUGGUCUGUUGUUUGUUGAAAUUUAAAAAAUAUUAAAAAUAUAAUUAGUAAUUCAGUAAAUUAAUCAAAUGUAUAAAUAAAUAGUAAUUAAAUAAAUUAAUCUAAUGACUUACUUUGAAACAAUGUAAAAACUGAUCAACUUCCCUAAUUUGAGGUGUCUUAUCCUCUUUUAUCUCACCCCAAGACAACCAUGGUUUUUUAUAUUUCUCUUGUAUGACUUCAGCAAUUGCCUUUGCAGAUGAUUUAAAAGGAAGAUAUCUUCAAAGUUUAUAUGCAAAUUAAAUAUAAAAAUAAAUUAAUAAAAUUAAUAAUGUAUUUACAUUGCAAUAAUAAUGAAAUAUUUAAUCAAUCAUAGUUUACAUACCCAUCUCCUUCUGGAAUGAUGACAAUGCGGUUGUAGCAAUCAACACAUCCGGGAUCCAUUAUUUCGUCUAAGGUAUAAGGCUCUACUGGGACCUCCGGAUAUAGAGGAAUAGCUCCACCACUAGUACCAAUGGACGGCAUCGGCAUGAGAGAUGGGUCAUUAACAACACGUUUAGCAACUUUUUUCUUACCACGUGAUGUUUUGGAUAUUCCUCGUAUUGCCGCCGUUCCUGUUCCUCCCGAUCCAUCCGAACCUCCUGAUCCUCCUACUCCCGACACUGAAGCCAUGUCUAUAUAUAUAUAUAUCCAUAUCCAUACAUAUAUAUAAUAUAAUAUAUGUGUGUAUACAAUUAACAUAAGAUUAAUUAAUAAUGAAAUAUACAUAAAUAAAUUAUAACACUGACAUAAAUAAAGAAAUAUAUAUAAAAUAUAAAAAUAUAUAUAUAAGGUGUCGUUCAUUUCAAUUACAAUAUAUAAUAUUAUAGAUAUAGAAACACACAUAUAUAUAUAAUUAAUUAAUUGUCUUCGUCUUCGUCUUCGUCAUCAUCGUCGUCGUCAUUUGAUGAGUGAAUUAAGUCAUUGCCUUCAUCAUUCUCUAAUUCAUCUAUUUCUUGUUCAUCAACUUCUUCUCCAAUGUGUGACUCAUGACAAAGUUGACUAAUAGUCUCAUCUCCAAUCACAUGAUCCAAAUUUGACAUUUCAUCCAUUUGAAAUGCAACUUCUUCAUUUUGACCUGCUUCAACUUCUUCGAUUCCACUCGUUGGUCUUGUUUUGAUUGCAGCACACCAACCUUGUUUGCUUCUGACAGUUGAUGGAUAAGGAACAUAAUAGACUUGUCUUACAUUAUGGGCCAGGGCAAAUGGAUCAAACCGUGGAUAUUUUUUGCUCAUACGAAUGUCUACAGUAUUGGAUAUCAAAUUUAUUUUAGUUCCUCUGCUAGAUGGAUCAAACCACUUACAGUAAAACAACACCACUUUUUUCGCAUAAUCUAGGAACGUGUAGUCAAUUUCGUAAAUAUGCUCAAUUAUGCCAUAGAAAUCUUCUACUACACCACUAUCAGAGACACUUUUCAUACAAACUCCACUAUUAAUUGUUUCUUUUCCUUCAGUCCAAGAUUCAGUGUGAAAUUUGUAUCCAUUGACGUAAUAGGUAUGCCAUUCUUUGAAACUUCUACUCGGGCCCAUAGAUAAGUGCCUUAAGUGGAUGUUGAUAGGAGUUUGUUCUUCGAGAUGCACUUGUUGUUGAAACCAUAAUGGGAAAUUUGAAUGUAUAUCAUCAGAUGAUUGUCCCGUAUUUAAAAAUGCCCUGAUCGAUGACCAUAUAUAUGGUGAAUAUCAAUUUAAUCAUAUAAUUAAAUAUAAUUAAUAUGAAGAGAAAUUUGAAACGUACUCAAUCUAUGGUUUAACUUUGGUGCAGUUAAUCAAAACGUGAACAUGUGCCGCAUUAAAUACUUUGUCGCUUGGCCAGAAAAUUGGAAAGUCCCUACCAGCAUGAUGACCAGACAAGCAAAAAACUGAUAAAGCAUGUAGAUGACGUAUAACACUAUCAGUAGCGUUUCUUCUGUUAACUGGUGACAACGUUUCGUUGUUGAAAUAAUGAGAACAAAAGUAUGUUGUUUCACGGUGAAGGUAAGAUGAACAAAUUGAGCCCUCAACUCUAGCUUUGUUUUUCACCGACCGUUUUGAAUAACCCAUGAACCUAUAAUAUACAAAGAUGUACAAUAAGCUCCAUGUAUAUAUAAGUUGAAGUAUAUUGAAAAUCAAGUAUAUGUAUAUAUAUAUCACCUUUCAAAUGGAUACAUCCAUCUAUACUGAACUAGUCCACCAAGCCUAGCUUCACUUGCAAGAUGCACUGAGAGAUGCUCCAUGGAAUCAAAAAACCCAGGAGGAAAUACUUUCUCCAACUUACAUAGAAUGAUCGGAAUGUCAUUUUCCAUCUUGAUGAGAUCUUUAUCAUAGAGUGUUGAAGAACACAAAUUCUUGAAAUAUUGACUCACUUCAAUAAGUGGGUUCAAUACAUGUGUCGGUAAAGCACUAAAGGCAAUAGGAAGUAAACACUCUAAAAAUAUAUGACAAUCAUGACUUUUCAUCCCAUGCAUCCUCCCAUUUUCCACAUCAGCACAUCUUGCCAAAUUAGAACAAUAACCGUCAGGCGUCUUCAGCUCUUUGAUCCAACGAUAAACAGAUUUGGCUUCAUCAGUAGAUAAAGUGUAAUUCGCACGAGGUUUUAGGGUCUUGCCGUUUUGUUCCACCAACAACAAAUCUGGUCGUCUGCAAUAUAUACCUAUGUCUUUUCUGGCUUUGUCAUUAUCUUUUGUUUUUCCUUUCACAUUCAUCACAGUAUUAAAUAUGUUGUCAAAGAAAUUUUUCUCAAUAUGCAUUACAUCGAGAUUAUGUCUCAAAAGAUUAUCUUUCCAAUACGGUAGAUCCCAAAAAAUACAUCUUUUUGUCCAAUUGUGCCAUUGUCCAUAACCUUGUGGUUUACAGGCCACACCAUUAACAACAUGUACCUUUGGCAUAUCUUUUACUUUAUUCCAAACUUGUUCUGAUGUCAACUUAAGCGGGGGUCCUAGACUUUCUGCAUAGCCCUUCAUAAAUGCAGCUUUGUUCCUUCUAAAUGCAUGAUCAGCAGGUAAAAACCUACGAUGCGAGUCAAACCACGAUGCUUUCCCGCCAAAUUUUAAAGUAAAUGCUUUUGUAUCUUCCAUACAAAUAGGACAAGCUAAUUUACCAUGGGUGCCCCAUCCUGACAACAUCCCAUAAGCGGGGAAAUCAUUAAUGGUCCACAUCAAUGCAGCUCUCAUCAUAAAAUUUUCUCUCCGAGCAAUAUCAUAUGUCAAGACACCAUUCCACAACCUCUUCAAAUCGUCAAUCAAAGGUUGUAAAAAAAUAUCAAUACCAGUUGUAGGAUUAGAAGGACCUGGUAUCACAGCAGCUAAGAACAUAUAAGGUUUAGACAUACACAUAUUAGGAGGAAGAUUGUAAGGAGUAACAAUAACCGGCCAACAAGAAUAAGGAGUAGACGAUGCUUGUAUGUACGGCGUAAAUCCAUCUGAGGAUAAUCCAAGUCUUACAUUGCGUGGAUCUGACGCAAAAUCAGGAUGCAUUUGAUCAAAGUGUUUCCAUGCCUGACCAUCAGACGGAUGUCGCAACUCGCUUGAAUUUCUUCUAUUCUCAUAAUGCCACGUCAUAUUUCCUGCAGUUUGUAUUGAUGCAAACAAUCUCUGCAAUCUUGAUACAAUAGGUAGGUAAAACAUUGCUUUCCUUGGAAUUGAUUUUCCCCUACUUACCCUAGAGUUAUUCCUUUGGUGAUACCUUGGUUGUUGACAAAAUUUGCAUUCAACUAAGUUAGCAUCAUUCAUACCAAAUUCAUUGUCAUAAUACAACAUGCAACCUUUAACACAACAAUCAAUCCUCUUGACACCUAAUCCUAACUUUGACACUAACCGUUUCGCAUCAUAAUAACUUUGCGGCAAACCAUCUCUAACAGGUGUUGCAUCUAGCAUCAUUUUAGUCAUGAAAUCCAAAGCUAAAUCAGGAACAUGAAAUUGAGACUUUAGACCUAAUAGUCUAAUACACAUUGAUAACUUUGAGUUUGAAGAACCUUCAAACAACGGUUUAUUUGUCUCUUUCAAAAGACCAUAAAAUCUCUGAGCUUCUUCAUUGGGAAGUCCAUCGGUAUCGUCAUAUUGAUCUUCAUUGAAUGACAAAUUAACCCCAACAGCAUCCGAGAUCAUAUCAUUCAUCGCCUCAAAGUGUUGAUAGUUAUAAUAAUCUAUACCUAACAUGGUAGUACUACUUGAAGGACCUGUGUUAUAAUUCUCCAUAGAUGUACUAGUAUUAGGCGCCGCUGGAGACUCUUCUCCAUGAUUAGUCCAAAUCCAGUAGUUAGGCAUAAAUCCAUCUGCAUACAAAUGCACUCUUAUUUCAUCUUCACUUUUAAACCGUCUACAUCGACAUAAACAACAUGGACAUCUCAUUCCCCCUUCAUCUUGGACAAUUUGUUGCACUCUCGCAAAAUUCAGAAAGUCUUCAACCUUGUUAGCAAAACGUUGUUUAAGACCCUUUCUUCCAGGAAAAUUCCUAUCGUACAUCCAACUACGGUAUAAAUCCAUAUAUAUAUAUAUAUAUAUAUAUAUAUAUAUCUGUGUGUGUGUGUGUGUGUGUGUGUAUAUAUAUAUGUAUAUGUUUAUUCUAAAAAUUAAAUAAAUAUAUAAAUUAUGUGCAUAUAUAUUUAUAUAUAUAUCGAUGUUUUAUAUAUUAAUUGCUUUAUUUUUCAAAAGCAUUAUAUAUAAAUUUUGACAUAUUUAUAUGUCAAUUAGGGGAGCAUGCAUCUGCACACAAUAUAAUAUAUUAUUACCAAUACAAUAAAUAUAUAUAAACCGAAAUAAAAUUAUAUAUAUAUAUCAAUACAAUAUAAUAUAUUAUUAUCAAUACAAUACAAUAAUAUAUAAUAUAUUAUUAUCAAUAUAAUAUAUAUAUCAAUACAAUAAAUUAUAUAUAUCAAUACAAUAAAUAUAUAUAAACCUAUAUAAAAUUUUAAAUGAUGUUUUUUUAAAAAUCAAGACUAAUAAUCAAGACUUAUUUAUAACAAAAAAUAAUAAUAUCAUCAAUUUUAAUAAUGUUUUUUUAAAUAAUAAUUAUAUUAAAACUAAUAUAUUUUAACCGUGGUUUGAAACUUUAAUUUAUCAUAUAUUAAUAUGUAAACAACAUCAUUUCUAUUUUUUUAAAAAUAAAUUUAUAAAACUAAUCUAAAUAUAAAUAUUACUAAUCUAUAUUUUAAAAAUAAUAUAUAUAUUUACUAAUCUAAAUUUAAAAUAUAUAAAAUACUAACUUGAUGCCGAGUAGCGUCUGACUUCAAGCUUUCACUCACGUACGAUAUGCUUGCAAGUCUUCGAAAUAAUUAACAAGCACUGUAAAAAUAAAAAUCAAUAACAUUAAUUAGUUAUAUCAAAUUAAAAAAUAAAAUUAUAAAACUACAUAUAUAAUAUAAUUAUACUUACCAAAUUUAAAUGAAGCUUAAGAGUAAUUUUGUGUAGAGAGAAGGAGGAGAGAAUGGUUAGAAUGAGGUUGUAGAGAGAAGUUGGAUGUGAAAAAAUGAAGGAGGAGGGGAGAAAAAUAUAUAUAGAUUCAGGUUGAGCAUUUGUGGCGGCUAAAGCAGCCACAAUGCCAACGGAUAUAUUGAUAUUUGUGGCGGCCUGGGCGGCCAGAAAAGCCAACGGCUAUAAUGCCAUUUGUGGCGGCUUUUGCCGCCAGUAAUUCUAACGGUAAAAUGCUUUGUGACGGCCUUUUCCGCCAGUAAUUGGGCCUCCAUUUGUGGCGGCCUUUGCCGCCAGUAAUGCCAACGGUACAAUCCUUUGUGACGGCCUAAGCGGCCACAAAAUCCAGCUGGAUUGGGCCUCCUUUGUGGCGGCCUUUGCAGCCACAAAUGCCACGUGCGCGUUCCUUUGUGGCGGCCUUUGCAGCCACAAAUGCCACGUGCGCGUUCCUUUGUGGCGGCCUUUGCAGCCACAAAUGCCACGUGCGCGUUCCUUUGUGGCGGCCUUUGCAGCCACAAAUGCCACGUGCGCGUUCCUUUGUGGCGGCCUUUGCAGCCACAAAUGCCACGUGCGCGUUCCUUUGUGGCGGCCUUUGCAGCCACAAAUGCCACGUGCGCGUUCCUUUGUGGCGGCCUUUGCAGCCACAAAUGCCACGUGCGCGUUCCUUUGUGGCGGCCUUUGCAGCCACAAAUGCCACGUGCGCGUUCCUUUGUGGCGGCCUUUGCAGCCACAAAUGCCACGUGCGCGUUCCUUUGUGGCGGCCUUUGCAGCCACAAAUGCCACGUGCGCGUUCCUUUGUGGCGGCCUUUGCAGCCACAAAUGCCACGUGCGCGUUCCUUUGUGGCGGCCUUUGCAGCCACAAAUGCCACGUGCGCGUUCCUUUGUGGCGGCCUUUGCAGCCACAAAUGCCACGUGCGCGUUCCUUUGUGGCGGCCUUUGCAGCCACAAAUGCCACGUGCGCGUUCCUUUGUGGCGGCCUUUGCAGCCACAAAUGCCACGUGCGCGUUCCUUUGUGGCGGCCUUUGCAGCCACAAAUGCCACGUGCGCGUUCCUUUGUGGCGGCCUUUGCAGCCACAAAUGCCACGUGCGCGUUCCUUUGUGGCGGCCUUUGCAGCCACAAAUGCCACGUGCGCGUUCCUUUGUGGCGGCCUUUGCAGCCACAAAUGCCACGUGCGCGUUCCUUUGUGGCGGCCUUUGCAGCCACAAAUGCCACGUGCGCGUUCCUUUGUGGCGGCCUUUGCAGCCACAAAUGCCACGUGCGCGUUCCUUUGUGGCGGCCUUUGCAGCCACAAAUGCCACGUGCGCGUUCCUUUGUGGCGGCCUUUGCAGCCACAAAUGCCACGUGCGCGUUCCUUUGUGGCGGCCUUUGCAGCCACAAAUGCCACGUGCGCGUUCCUUUGUGGCGGCCUUUGCAGCCACAAAUGCCACGUGCGCGUUCCUUUGUGGCGGCCUUUGCAGCCACAAAUGCCACGUGCGCGUUCCUUUGUGGCGGCCUUUGCAGCCACAAAUGCCACGUGCGCGUUCCUUUGUGGCGGCCUUUGCAGCCACAAAUGCCACGUGCGCGUUCCUUUGUGGCGGCCUUUGCAGCCACAAAUGCCACGUGCGCGUUCCUUUGUGGCGGCCUUUGCAGCCACAAAUGCCACGUGCGCGUUCCUUUGUGGCGGCCUUUGCAGCCACAAAUGCCACGUGCGCGUUCCUUUGUGGCGGCCUUUGCAGCCACAAAUGCCACGUGCGCGUUCCUUUGUGGCGGCCUUUGCAGCCACAAAUGCCACGUGCGCGUUCCUUUGUGGCGGCCUUUGCAGCCACAAAUGCCACGUGCGCGUUCCUUUGUGGCGGCCUUUGCAGCCACAAAUGCCACGUGCGCGUUCCUUUGUGGCGGCCUUUGCAGCCACAAAUGCCACGUGCGCGUUCCUUUGUGGCGGCCUUUGCAGCCACAAAUGCCACGUGCGCGUUCCUUUGUGGCGGCCUUUGCAGCCACAAAUGCCACGUGCGCGUUCCUUUGUGGCGGCCUUUGCAGCCACAAAUGCCACGUGCGCGUUCCUUUGUGGCGGCCUUUGCAGCCACAAAUGCCACGUGCGCGUUCCUUUGUGGCGGCCUUUGCAGCCACAAAUGCCACGUGCGCGUUCCUUUGUGGCGGCCUUUGCAGCCACAAAUGCCACGUGCGCGUUCCUUUGUGGCGGCCUUUGCAGCCACAAAUGCCACGUGCGCGUUCCUUUGUGGCGGCCUUUGCAGCCACAAAUGCCACGUGCGCGUUCCUUUGUGGCGGCCUUUGCAGCCACAAAUGCCACGUGCGCGUUCCUUUGUGGCGGCCUUUGCAGCCACAAAUGCCACGUGCGCGUUCCUUUGUGGCGGCCUUUGCAGCCACAAAUGCCACGUGCGCGUUCCUUUGUGGCGGCCUUUGCAGCCACAAAUGCCACGUGCGCGUUCCUUUGUGGCGGCCUUUGCAGCCACAAAUGCCACGUGCGCGUUCCUUUGUGGCGGCCUUUGCAGCCACAAAUGCCACGUGCGCGUUCCUUUGUGGCGGCCUUUGCAGCCACAAAUGCCACGUGCGCGUUCCUUUGUGGCGGCCUUUGCAGCCACAAAUGCCACGUGCGCGUUCCUUUGUGGCGGCCUUUGCAGCCACAAAUGCCACGUGCGCGUUCCUUUGUGGCGGCCUUUGCAGCCACAAAUGCCACGUGCGCGUUCCUUUGUGGCGGCCUUUGCAGCCACAAAUGCCACGUGCGCGUUCCUUUGUGGCGGCCUUUGCAGCCACAAAUGCCACGUGCGCGUUCCUUUGUGGCGGCCUUUGCAGCCACAAAUGCCACGUGCGCGUUCCUUUGUGGCGGCCUUUGCAGCCACAAAUGCCACGUGCGCGUUCCUUUGUGGCGGCCUUUGCAGCCACAAAUGCCACGUGCGCGUUCCUUUGUGGCGGCCUUUGCAGCCACAAAUGCCACGUGCGCGUUCCUUUGUGGCGGCCUUUGCAGCCACAAAUGCCACGUGCGCGUUCCUUUGUGGCGGCCUUUGCAGCCACAAAUGCCACGUGCGCGUUCCUUUGUGGCGGCCUUUGCAGCCACAAAUGCCACGUGCGCGUUCCUUUGUGGCGGCCUUUGCAGCCACAAAUGCCACGUGCGCGUUCCUUUGUGGCGGCCUUUGCAGCCACAAAUGCCACGUGCGCGUUCCUUUGUGGCGGCCUUUGCAGCCACAAAUGCCACGUGCGCGUUCCUUUGUGGCGGCCUUUGCAGCCACAAAUGCCACGUGCGCGUUCCUUUGUGGCGGCCUUUGCAGCCACAAAUGCCACGUGCGCGUUCCUUUGUGGCGGCCUUUGCAGCCACAAAUGCCACGUGCGCGUUCCUUUGUGGCGGCCUUUGCAGCCACAAAUGCCACGUGCGCGUUCCUUUGUGGCGGCCUUUGCAGCCACAAAUGCCACGUGCGCGUUCCUUUGUGGCGGCCUUUGCAGCCACAAAUGCCACGUGCGCGUUCCUUUGUGGCGGCCUUUGCAGCCACAAAUGCCACGUGCGCGUUCCUUUGUGGCGGCCUUUGCAGCCACAAAUGCCACGUGCGCGUUCCUUUGUGGCGGCCUUUGCAGCCACAAAUGCCACGUGCGCGUUCCUUUGUGGCGGCCUUUGCAGCCACAAAUGCCACGUGCGCGUUCCUUUGUGGCGGCCUUUGCAGCCACAAAUGCCACGUGCGCGUUCCUUUGUGGCGGCCUUUGCAGCCACAAAUGCCACGUGCGCGUUCCUUUGUGGCGGCCUUUGCAGCCACAAAUGCCACGUGCGCGUUCCUUUGUGGCGGCCUUUGCAGCCACAAAUGCCACGUGCGCGUUCCUUUGUGGCGGCCUUUGCAGCCACAAAUGCCACGUGCGCGUUCCUUUGUGGCGGCCUUUGCAGCCACAAAUGCCACGUGCGCGUUCCUUUGUGGCGGCCUUUGCAGCCACAAAUGCCACGUGCGCGUUCCUUUGUGGCGGCCUUUGCAGCCACAAAUGCCACGUGCGCGUUCCUUUGUGGCGGCCUUUGCAGCCACAAAUGCCACGUGCGCGUUCCUUUGUGGCGGCCUUUGCAGCCACAAAUGCCACGUGCGCGUUCCUUUGUGGCGGCCUUUGCAGCCACAAAUGCCACGUGCGCGUUCCUUUGUGGCGGCCUUUGCAGCCACAAAUGCCACGUGCGCGUUCCUUUGUGGCGGCCUUUGCAGCCACAAAUGCCACGUGCGCGUUCCUUUGUGGCGGCCUUUGCAGCCACAAAUGCCACGUGCGCGUUCCUUUGUGGCGGCCUUUGCAGCCACAAAUGCCACGUGCGCGUUCCUUUGUGGCGGCCUUUGCAGCCACAAAUGCCACGUGCGCGUUCCUUUGUGGCGGCCUUUGCAGCCACAAAUGCCACGUGCGCGUUCCUUUGUGGCGGCCUUUGCAGCCACAAAUGCCACGUGCGCGUUCCUUUGAGUCUUCGAAAUAAUUAACAAGCACUGUAAAAAUAAAAAUCAAUAACAUUAAUUAGUUAUAUCAAAUUAAAAAAUAAAAUUAUAAAACUACAUAUAUAAUAUAAUUUAUACUUACCAAAUUNNNNNNNNNNNNNNNNNNNNNNNNNNNNNNNNNNNNNNNNNNNNNNNNNNNNNNNNNNNNNNNNNNNNNNNNNNNNNNNNNNNNNNNNNNNNNNNNNNNNNNNNNNNNAUUUGUGGCGGCCAAAGCAGCCACAAUGCCAACGGAUACAUGACGUUUGUGGCGGCCUGGGCGGCCAGAAAAGCCAACGGCUAUAAUGCCAUUUGUGGCGGCCUUUGCCGCCAGUAAUUCCAACGGUACAAUCAGUUGUGAAGGCCUAAGUGGCCACAAACUCCAGCUGGAUUGGGUCUCCUUUGUGGCGGCCUUUACAGCCACAAAUGCCACGUGCGCGUUCCUUUGUGGCGGCCUUUGCAUCCACAAAUGCCACUUGUCCCGUCUGCCUUUGUGACGGAUUUGGCCCUCACAAAAUUAAUUUUUUGUGGCUGUAAAAGCCCUCACAAAAUCCUUAAAUAUUUAACUGGAUUUUGUGGCUGCCUAAGCCCUCACAAAAUCACAAUGUUGUGAUUUUGUGAGGGCUUAGGCAGCCACAAAAUCCAGUUAAAUAUUUAAAAAUUUGUGAGGGCUUUUUCAGCCACAAAUAAAGACCAAUUUCAAUUUUGACAUCUGCGAGGGCUUUUUUGGUCACUAAUUUGUGAGGGUUUUAUUCGGCCACAAAAUAUUUAUAAAGUUGGCCACAAAAUGGUGUUUUUCUUGUAGUGAACUUCCACAAAUAUGCAUAUGUCGUGACAUGGUGGUGCAUUAUCAAAAAUAAAAUAUUCCUACACAGCCUACUAAGAUUAGGUCAAAUGAUCCAAAAAUAACUAAUAUGAAAUCAUCACCUUAUUCAAAUAUCACUAAGAUCAUAUAUCACAGGUUCUUGUCAUAAAAUCAAAUAUUCAUAAACAACCAUCAUAAAAUGAAAGCUCCCACUCCACAUAUCAUGAAGAUCAUAUAUUCAUAAGAAACUAUCACAAAGAUCAAAGCUUACACUGCACAUAUCAAGAAAUCAUAUAUUCAUAAAAGUAUCAUAAAAAUUAAAACUUUAAUUUGUUAUAUCAAAAAAAUUUAAUAUACUCAUGAAAUCAAACAUUCUCUCACCCCUUACCUUUUUUGGUCACUUUCAAACGUGAAUACGAGUCUGCAAGAAAAAAGUCUUUGUUCUUUGACUCAUUGUCCUUCAAUGAUCUAACUCGACAUUUUAUGGGUAAAAUUCAAAAAUAAAUUAUAAAACUACACUCUAAAAAGGUCAAUUUCGAAAUUUAAUCAAGUAAACUUACCCUAAAUCUAAAAAUAAUCAUAGGAUAAUAUAGUUGUCAUUCACACGGUCGUUUUGACGUUUGUUUCACUCAAAUUAGACUUACAGUGAAGAAGAACGAUGCAAAAUAAAUAAUUUAAAAAACAGAGAAGUCAAAUAUUUUAGAGAGGAAUUGAGAUGGUUAAAAAUAUGAUAAAGUGUGUUUAAUUGACUAGUUAAAUGAAUGAAACAACAUAUUGAAUAUGGACUUAACCCAUAAAACACAUCUUACUCAUUUUUUUUUUUUUUAUAAAUAAAACCAACAAUUACCAAAACUCAUUUUUUUAACAUUUCUAUAAACAAUUUCAUUACUAAGAUAUUACUAAUAUUUUAUAAAAUAAAGUAAUUAACUUUUUAAAAAUAUAGUAGUAAUAACUACAAUCCUCAUACUUAUAAUUAUUACCACAAUUAUUAAAUUAUUAUUUAUGAAGAUACUUACAUUAAAUAUUACCAUCUUUAACGAGAUAUAAAAUAUAAAAUAAAUAAAGAUAAUAUCAAUAAUUUACAUUAAUUACUAAAUCAUAAUCUAUACGUAUAAAAUCAUCAUAUCAUGUUAACUAUAUAAAAAUAAAGGAAAUCAAUAUCAGUGCUACUAAUAUAUCAAAAUAAUUAUUUAUAAAAUAAAUAAUUAAAAUGAUUUUAUAUUUAAAAAUAAUUAAAUAUGAUUAAGGGCCGAUUUAACAUUAGUCAAUGCACAAAAAAAUAUCACAUUAAUUACGAAUGCACUUGUAGGCGUAAAAUAACCUAAAAUUUUAUUUUUUAUAAUAUUACAAUAAAGUACUAUUAUUUUUAGAAAAAUAUAUAAAAUAAUAAAAUAUAAUUUUUGUUAUUGAUAUUACUCAUUUAAGUUAAUAUGUACAAAACCAACAGAUAAUGGGAAACACCCAUAUAACGAUAGUUAAUCACAAAAUCUAUCAACACAUAUUAUAAAGUAAUUUUAAAAUUAAGUAAAUUAUUUAAAAUCCUAUUUAAUUAAUAAAAUAGUUUAUUAUAAAAUUUGGGAUGUUACACAUUAGACUUCAUCAAAUAUAGUGUCAGAUAAAGACCCAAGAUUUACCUCUAAGUUUUGGGAAAGUUUACAGAGUGCUUCAGGUACAAACCUUAGGAUGAGUUUAGCCUACCACCAGCAAACAGAUGGUCAGACUGAACGAACCAAUCAAUCCCUAAAAGACUUAUUGAGAGCUUGUGUGUUGGAGCAGAAUGGAAGUUGGGAUAGCUUUUUACCACUUAUACCAUUCUAGCAUUUGCGUGGUCACUUUUGAGGCGUUGUAUCGAAGAAGGUGUAUAACCCCUCUAUGUUGGUUUGAGAUUGAGGAUAACCUUGUAUUAGGACCUAAGGUUGUUCAUCAGACAACUAAUAGAGUGAUAACAAUUUAGGAAAAGAUGAAAACAUCUCAAAGUAGGCAAAAGAGUUACCACAAUAAAAGAAGGAAAAACCUUGAGUUUCAAGAGGAUGAUUAUGUAUUUCUGAUAGUUACUCCAACAAAUGGGGUUGGACGAGCGUUAUAAAUGCGAAAGCUUACUCCUAGGUGUAUAAUCAAAUUCUUAAAUAUGUCAGUAACGUAGCAUAUCAGAUCGCGUUGUCCGUGUCUCUUUCUAACCUUCAUAGUGUCUUUCACGGGUCCAAAUCCGCAAGUACAUUUAUGAUCCUUCACAUAUGAUUAAGUUACACGAGGUCCAAAUAAAAGAGAAUCUAACUUUUAAGACAUUAUCGCUACGAAUUGAGGAUCGAAGAUCAAGGAAUUAAGAGGUAAGACGAUUAUGUUGGUUAAGAUUGUCUAGGAUUCAUAUCCGGAGUUGUUUUCUUCAGCUAAAUUUUGAGGACGAAAUUUCUUCAAAAGAGGAGAAAUAUAACACUCCAAUUUCUUAUUAUUAUAUUUUAAUAGUAUAAUGAUACACUACUAUUAUUAUAUGUGUGAUAAUUUUAUUAAUGUUUGUCUUGUGUGUUUGUCUUAGUAAUUUAUUUAAAUCAUUAAUAUUAACUAUAUUUAAUUUGCUUAAAAAAAAAAAGAAGGAUCUUUUUAGAAGGGAAACUUGCAUUAAAUCAGUUGGCAUUUCACACAUGAGUUUUCCAACAUUUAGAAUGUCAAUUUUUUUACUAAAGAUGUAAGCUCGUCAAGUUUGCCUUCUAAAUUAUUGUGGGAAGAAGCUUGAAUUUCAUUCACACCCCUUGUCAACAUUGUUGAAUUGCUUCUAGUUGUAAACUGCUGAGAAUUAAUGGACAUGUUCUCAAUCAAAGUCUUUGCCGCUUCUGGGGUCUUAUCGACAAGUGAAUAUCGAUCUAACAACUGAAAUAUUAAUUUAUUUUAUUUUGGAACAUAAAUGAAUAUCGAUCUAACAACUAAAAUAUUAAUUUUGCAAAUAAAUAAAUAAUAUUUUAAUAAUUUGCAUUACGUCCUUUUACAACAACAAAAAAAUCAAGUCAUUUUAUGACGCAUAUUCAAUUUAUUACAUGAUGAACUACUCCUAAGAAAAAAAUCAUAGUUGUUUCUAAAAGAAAAUAAAUAUUUUUAAGUAAUCAUUAGAUUAAAAAUUUGGGGCGUUAUAUUGUGGUAUCAGAGCGCUAAUUCUCGGGUCUUGUGGGGUGGAUGUGUUGUGUAUGUUGCAUUUAUUGUGAUGUUGCUUGUGUUAUUUGUUUGGUUUUUGAAUUUUUGAAUUUUAAUAAUUGCUUCAAAUUAUAAUUAUAUGUCAUUAAUUGAAUUUGAAUUUUAUUAAUUAUUUAAAUAUCUAUUAUGUGUCAUUAAUUGUGUAACCUCACUGAAUUUGAAUUUUACUAAUUACUUAGAUUCAUAUUAUGUGCCUUUCAUUAUGUUAAUUGUUUGGUUUUCUAAUAAUUGAAUUUUAUUAAUUAUUUAAAUUCCUAUUAUGUGUCAUUAAUUGUGUAACCUUCAUAAUUUUUGUCAUUAAAUAUAUGUCUUAAAUAUUUGAUUUAAUGGUGUUAUUUUAUUGUGUAUUUAGUUGUUUUCAAAUAAAUCUCUAUGUCUACUUACAUAUUUUUCUUAGCAUUGUUUUUUUAUAUUAUUUAGAAAUCUUAUAUUUAUUUUAAUAGAUUUUACUAUCUUUUUAUGAAUUUUUUUUCUUAUUUAUCGUAUGACUAUUUUGUUUUAAUAAUCUUAGACUCUCUACUUCUUGCUCAUGUUAAAUGUUUUGUGAUCUAGCUAUGACUUGGCUUAAUUAGUCUUGUUAAUAAUAAUCAUGAAUAUUACAAAAUAAUUUCGUCUUCUAUUUGAUACAAAUGAGUAUUAUUAUGUUAUAAAAUAUAGUGCUACAUGUUAUUGUUGUUAUCAUUGUCUCUUUUAUAUUAUUUUUAUGAAACUAUAAAUUUUAAUUCGCUUGAAUUGCAAAUAUUUUAAAAAGAAUAUCAUUUAAUUCAAUGUGAUUAUCAGUGUUAUUAAUAAAUUUUCCUUUUAAUUUACUUAAUUAAAAUAUUUUUUUAUAUUCAAAAGGUAUUUAAUAAACUAAUUUGAUUUUGAUUUUAUUUCUUAAAUUAGUUUUCUUAAGACAAAUUUAAUGUAGUUACAUUUUCUUUUGAAUUUAUAUACAUAUACAAUAUUUUCCUUAUUUUAUGAAUGUUGUUUACACACUAUAAGAUGAAGAGUUAAGAUAAUAUGUUAUUGUAAUUAUUUUACAUUAAUAUUAUUAUUAUUAUUAUUGUUAUUAUUAUUAUUUCUAUUAUUUUUAUUAUUUGUUAACAUUUAGAUUUUUAUUUUAUGUUAAAAGUUAUAUAAAAAAAAAGGACUAAGAAUGAUUUUCCCUUGUCAACAAUCAUUGAAUAUUUUUAUUACUAUAAAUUGAAUUUUGUCUAGUUACUUAAAUUAAAAUAUGUUUCCAGCAUUUAUUAUUAUAAUCUAAAGGCCGCAAAUUUUAAUUGUAAAACUAUGUUUUUUUUUUAAUUUUUAAUUUUACCAUAUUAUUAAUUUUAAAAGACUGGUUGGAUUAAAAAGAGUUAUCAGGGUUGAAAUGAAUGGAAGAUGUGACGAUGCCUUCGUGCUCUACAAAUGUACUAAAAUUUUUUUAACAGUCUUAAUUUAAAGAAAAAUUAAUAUGAUUAUUACUAAAUGAGUAGGAGAGAUUAAUCACCCUAGUGACUUAAUUUGGAUGAAGACAAUAACAAUAAUUCUUUUUUACUAUCCUCGAGAAUUUAUUUUACUUAUUAAAAAGUCUAUCAAGAUUUAUUUUAUUUUGCAUUAUCUUUAUUAGAUAAAUUACAAUAUGUGUGUACUAUAAAUAAUGAUAAAUGUAUUGAAUUUAUGGAAUUUAACAAAAUUAAAUAGGCGAGUUUUAUGAAUAUGAUGAUUUUAUUUGAAUUUCAAUCAUUUUUAAUUUCAUUAAUAAAAUUUAAGUGUUAUAUUAUUAAUUAUUAUUGUAAUGAUUUAUUAUUAUUAUUAUUAUUAUUAUUAUUAUUAUUAUUAUUAUUAUUAUUAUUAUUCAUUAUUAUCAAUGAAUUUUGCAUAUUAGUAUUGCAUUGUAAAAUUCUAUUGUAUAAUAAGUAAAUAAAUAAAGCCAAUUAAAUCAAUUUCUUUAUAGAAAUGAUUUUUUAUCAAAGGAUAUAUGAUAUCCCUCUUGUUCUAUUUUUAAAAUUUUAAAAUAUGUUAUCAGCAAAUAAUUCUAAAUUUACUCUAUUUUAAUAAAUGACAUUCUCAAUGUUAUCUCUUUUAUUUUUCUUUUUGUGUUCAUUGAUUUGUUUUAACUAGUUCACGUGUUUAACAUGUAACUUUUAUACAACUCAAGUUUUUAUAUUUUAGUCGAAUUAUUGUUAAUCAAGAAAUUUUUGUAACACUAAUGGGGAUUCAAAAGAAUUUUAUUUGAUUUAUUAAGAAAUGUGUCAAUAUGUGUAUGCAACUUGUCAAUUUGUUUUUCCUUUUAGUUUCGAGGACAAAACUAUUUUUAAGGGGUAAGUAUUGUAACACCCCAAUAUUUUCAUAUGUAUUAUAUAUAUGUCUUUUAGUAAUUUUGGUAAUUUAUUAUUUAAUUAAUAAUUUAUUCUAUAUGUAAAGAAAUUAAAUUAAAAUUUAGGCUAAAUUACAUCUGUGGUCUCUUAUCUUAAUUUCAGGUAAUGUUUUAGUCCUUUAUCUUUUUUUCCCGACUUGGUCCUUUAUUUUAAUUUUAAGUGACAAUUUGAUAUUUUAUGUUUUAAAAUUUCAACAAUGUUAUCCUUUUUUAUACAAAAAUUCAAAAAAAAAAAUUCAAACAAAACUGACAAAAUUAAUUAUAUUCUUCAAUAUAAUACAAAUUUCAUCAAAUUCGUAACGCAAAUCUUCAAAUAAACUUAUAUUUUCAUACUUUAUUUGAUAUUGUUAGGAAUAAAGGACUAAAUCGGGGAAAAAAAGAUAAAGGACUAAAUCGUUAACUGAAAUUAAGUUAAGGGACUACAGGUGAUAUUUAGCCUAAAAUUUACUACUCUCUAUUGUACUUGAAUAGUUAUAAUCUUUAUUUUUAUUUAAUUGUUUUGGUGUGACAAUUACAUUUGAACGGUUUAUGACAUAAUUAUUUCCUACGUGAACAACUGUAUAUUUUGUUUAUUUGAUUAGUUUCGAUAAUCAUAAAAUUGAUGUGUUAGAUACGUUGACUUUAUUUUGUUAUGUGUGACCUGCAAUUAGGGGUGGGAAUAGGUCAGGUCAGACCAGACUUUGAAAGGUCUGAGUCUAGCCUACGAUUUAUUUUUUAGGACUAAGCUUGGCCUACUGUCUAUCAUAGACUUUUUUUUCGGGCUGGUCUGGCCUUUUUAAAAGUAUGGCUUGGCCUGAAAGCCAAUUUAAAAGUCUUAUUCACAUUAAAAUAUUUAAAUGCUCUACUCAUACCACAUGAUGCUCUCCACAUACCAAUAUCAAUGUACAUAUCUAUAUAUAUUAAACAAAAAAUAAUUUUUCUAACCAAAUAAUUUUUUAAAAAUCUGAAACAAACAUCCUUUAAACCUUAAAUGUGUGUCAUAUAAUAGAUUUUUUUCUUCUGAAACAUACACACUCAUUAUUACCUAUUAAACAAAUAUGGAACAACUACUAAAUAUGGAAUGCUCACUCAAUGAUUGUCCAAUUGAUAGAAUUUAAAAUAGGAAAUAAUAUUAUUAAUAUAAUAAUAAAUAAUAUUAAUAAAUAAUAUAUAUAUAUAUAUAUAUAUAUAUAUAUANNNNNNNNNNNNNNNNNNNNNNNNNNNNNNNNNNNNNNNNNNNNNNNNNNNNNNNNNNNNNNNNNUAUAUAUAUGACGGUCUGUCAGGGCUAAUAGGUUUUUUUAUAAGCAUAAGCUUGACCUAUUUAAAUAAAUAGGCUUUUAAAAACAGCAUGAGCCUAUCAUUUUUAUUAAAUAGGCCAAGUCAGACCAUAAGUAGGCCAGACCAUAGGCCCCUGACGGACGGUCUAGCCUAUUCUCAUCCCUACCUGCAGUGAUAUUUUUGUCUUACUUGAUUUAUUUUAGUUGAUGAAAACAAUAGUUGAAUUAUUUAAUUAAAUUAUAAUUUAUAGAAGUUAUAUUGUUUAUUAGUUUUAUUUUAAACCAAAUAAAUAUUCGACCUAUGAGAUAGUAGAGUUGGUGAAAAUUCUUAGUUUUAUUUAUAAAUUCUAUUUAAUUAAUUUAGUGUGACAAUAAUAAGAUAAUUGUUCCUUUCAUGUUUAAUUAUUUGAUGAAAUAUAUUUAUAUAAAUUAAUUAAUUGUUGGAGUUUAGUUAGUAAUUAAGUAAAACUCGUAGGAGUAUUUUUUUUUUUUUAGAGUGAACAAUGACCAAGUCAAUUUUGAUCAAAAUUUAAUCACCCACACUACUACUCUUGAUAGCUAUAUUUUAGGUUUGAGAAAUGUUACUUAAACACAAUUUUAAACACAAAUACAAACACAACUACCGUACACAUAUACAAUGUAUAUUAUACACACUUAUACUCUCUCUUUAUUAAUUAAUAAUAAAAUUAAAUUAAACAAACAAACACCACAAACUCUCUCUUUUCCUUUACAUCUUCAUCGAUCUUCUUCCUCUCUCAUUCUCUCUUCCUUUUGGAUCAAUCAGCUAACUCUUGUGUUGACCUAGAUUUUGUUUUUCACCUGUAUUUCUUACACAUUGCUCUCCAUAUCUACACUUCUUAGAUUUAUAUUUGAAUUUUUUAAAUAGAUUUUUAUUUUAUUUUAGUUCUUUUGUUAUUUUCUUAGCUGUUUACUCUUGUUGUUCUUGACUCAUACAACGGUUUUCUUGGCUCAUACACGGUUUUCUAGGUAUUUUUGGGUAUUUCUUUUUCUAGUUAAUAGUGUAAACAUUAUUGGUUAAUAAAGUACAAUAUGUGGUUAAUGCAUUAUUUUUGUCUAAAAGUUAGGGUUGCGAAUUGUUAAUUCAUGUUAAUUAUUUAUGUCUAAAUAUUAAGUUUCAUCAUUCUUAUUGUUAUUGAUAGGUCUAACACAUUUCAUAUUUUGUUAUUAAUUUCAUAUUUUGUUAUUAAUGGUGUGCUAAUUAUAGGUCUUUCGGAUUUUGUUUCUGGUAAAUAGUGUAUUUGUGUUCGUAUUUGUGUUUGUAUUUGUGUUUAAAUUUAUGUUCAAAUAUCAUUGCUUUUAUUUUUAAUAGCAUUUAGUUAUAGAACCGUGUGUUUUCUACUUUACAUCAACUCAAAUAUGUAACAAGCAAGAAUAAGUACAUGAAUGCCAAUUAAUUCAUAACGGUUGGUCAUUGAAUGAUAUUAUUCCAAUUGAAUACCUUAUUGAUGUGUGCAAUUAACCUUAAUGAGAAGAAUUAUUUUCUUCCUCUAAUCAACUUCACGUCUCCAUAUUUGUCUCAUACACCUCUUCCUCAUAGAAUACGAUAAAACUUGCAAUAGAGUAGAAAGAAGUCCUAAUCACCCAUACCUCACACGCCAUUCCCAACAUUAUAUUUUGUUUAUCUCAAAUAUUUUUUUGAGUCACUCAAACAUCCACCCACAUAUUCCCUCUCUUUCUUGUGGAAGUUCUAAGCUUUCGUUUCUUCAUCUUUAUGAGAUUUUUCUAGGGCUAUAUAGUGUUACGUGGAAGGAAAGCGUUGAAGGUAAGGGUUUUUUCCGUAUGAAGAGUUAGGCUAGAUAUUAAAUUAGAGGUUCGUAGGAUAUUGAUAUGAUGUUUGGAUGUCUUAAAAUAGAAAAGUUGAUUUUAUUUUCGUCGUAAAGAAAUUAACUAAAUGUUUUGAUUGUUUCUUUUGAGUAAUACAUCUAUCUUGAUGAACUUAAUUAUAGAAUUCUAUUUUUAUUAUUAUCCCUUGAUAAAUAUAUUUGUAGUGAAAAUGUUUAACGUCUUAUGUGUUUAGAGUACUUAAUUAUAAAGUUAUAAUUAAUAUGAUGAUAUCAUUAGUAAUAUGUUUGUUGUGAUGUAUUUGAUAUUAAGUCUUGACUUUUUGAGUAUUUUAAAUUCAGCAUUUGACUUUUAGGAACAAUAUAUGUGUCAUGAGGAAAUUGAUGAGAAUUUUAUAUUUUUAAUUUUGACAAUAUGAGAAAAUUGAUUAUUUAAAUGUAUUAAUGUAUAGUUCAUUUUUAUAAUGCGGAAAAUUUUAUAGUGAAAGGAAUAAAAUUUCUAUUGUUAUUGUAUUCUUGGUAAUAUGAGUUUUAAUUUUUAUCAAUAACAAGUAAUCAAAUCGAAUCUUAUGAAUUAUUAAAAUGAAAGUGGUGAUUUUGAGAUAUUUGUUCACGUGUAUAUUUGAUGUGUUGAAAUUAGUGAGCUCUAACUAUGAACACCCAUGAGAAUAUAAAUUUGAUGUCUUAUGUGAUUAAAAAUUUUAAUCUUAAAUAUUUUGUCUUUGUGGUUGCUUAAGUGGCUGAUGAUUUGUCUUUUAAAUAUUAUUAUCUUUGUGGUUGCCUAAGUGGCUAGUGAUUUGUGUUUGUUACCUUUGUGGUUGUCUAAGUGGCUGGUGAUUUGUGUUUUAAAUAUUGUUAUAUUUGUAGUUGUCUAAGUGUCUGAUGAUUUGUGUGAUUAUCUAAGUAGGUGGUGACAUGUACCUUUUUUGCAUCAUUAUCAUUUCAUGACAUAUCAUAUGUAUCUUUGUAGACGCUUGUGUGGCUGGUUUAAUUUUUCUCAUUGGUAUGGGUGACUUCUGUGUGGACGCAUGUGUGACUGGUUAUAUCCGGAUCAUAUAUAUUUAGGAGCAUGCAUCACUUGCAUACAUUUUAUUGUUAUUUUUAUUUUGAUCUAAUUAUUUGCUCUACGAUUGCUACUUGAUUUAUUUAGAUACAUUUUAUAACUUUUGAUACAUCUUUGAGAACUAUUAAAAAAAUCAAUUUCUUUAAAUCUUUUAUUACGAAAAGAUUUUUUAUUCAUAUUUUAUGGUUAUUAGUUUAUUAUUUGGUUUAAUUUUUGUUGUGGGAAGAACUGACCCCUUACACCAUCAUUUAGGUACUAAUGAUUUCAAAGAGUUGCACGAAUGAUGUUUGCUUGGUGCAUGUGGGGAAAAUACGAAUUUUACUUAAAAAUAAUGUUUUAUAUUGCAGUACAUUGUAAAGUUAUUUACUCUUCAUCAUUAACUUUUAAUAGAAAUGCGGUAGUGAGAUUUUAUUCGCUAGUAAAAUCUCUCAAACCAAUGCUAAAUCAUUAACUUUGUAUCAACAUCUCAUCUAGUUAUACCAUAUUCAUGGAGAACAAUGCUAAAUCUCUCAAACCAAGCACGAGAAGGUUGUUUCAAACCAUAAAGAGAUCGGUGUAACUGACACACCAAGUGAAAAGCACCGCUAAUAAUGAAGUCUGGUGGUUGUGCCAUGUACUCCUCCUCUUGUAACUAAACAUGUAGAAAUGCAUUUUUAUAUGUCCUUUUUUUAUGUAAAGAAAAAUGAUGAAUAGAAACAAUGGCAAGAAAGAGGCAAACAUAUGCAAUCUUGGAAACUAGAGAGUGUUAGAACCAAGUUGAUUUGAAUAAAUAAGCCCCUCACAUGUUUUGAUGAUAAAAAAAAUCAUUUGUGAGAACAAUUUCAUGCUUUAACGCUGUAUUUAACUGUGCAGGUUUGAAUUCAUAUGCUCGGUCAAUGGACAAUCAGUGUAUCCUCUGAUAUAUAGACAAAGACAAAGAUACAACAUGUAUUGCCCUCUCUUUGCUAAGUCUGUUGCACACAUAAGCAUUGCGUUGCAGUGUCUGUGAUAGCACAAAGCAUUGUCGCAACUCUUUUACCUCUGAUGAACUCAAAAGUGAAUUUUGAUAGUCUGCCUCAACCUCUAAUAAGCGUGACAAGAAUUUUUCUGUCUCUGCCUCUGAUAAAGAUGACAAUAGUUCUUCUUCCUCAGCCUAUGAUAAGUGUGACAAGAAUUCUUUUGCCUCUGUCUUUCACAAUCAUAUCAAGUGUUUAAUCGUCUGACCUUGAAGUUCCAUCCUUUGCAAAGUCAACGCUCUAAGAGAGUCAAUGCUUUGAAUACAAAUCAAUUUACAUAUCCUCUGAUAUAUAUCCUAAAUCAACUACUUCUCUAAAUAUCUCAAGACAUUAGUUGAUCAUCUUUCCCUUUGCUAAAGUACAAUAGCCAAAUCAUUCCACAAGUAUUAGUAUUUUCUGGAAAGUCUCUCUAUCAAAUCAUUCCACAAAGAUACGAUGAGAAACUUCAUCGAUUAUCCUGAUUUUCUGCAAUUUGUACAACAGUCUGAAACCCUUAUUGUUAUUUAUAAAGGACGUGCCUCCAUCAACAAAGAAAUAGACAACAACGGACAUUACACUGCAUACAAGCAACUAGUGAUAAUCACCUUUGUACUAUUAUUCUCAUCAUGUUAAUGCUAAGAGAAUUUUUCUAAAGCAAAUAUUAUAAACACUCUCUACAAGGACUUAUUCAGUUAAACCCCGAAACAUCUUUGUUGUAACCUAGCCCAAUAGCAAUUGUCAUCCUCAACAACUUGAUUGAACUAAGUUAAUGUUGAGAAGAUUGAGCACAGUCAGUGUAACUAGUAGGCGUUCAAGUAUAAAUCUAAUUCAGUGGCACUUUAGUGGAUUAAAUCCUUCAAAUUGAAGGUACUAGACAUAGCUAUCCUAUUGCUGAUAAACUACGAUAAAUUGUUGUGUCUCUAUGCUUUGUUUUCACACAUGUUUUAUCUUAUUUACUUUGACUAUAGUCGCGCAAAAAGUUUUUUAAUAACCCAAUUGAUAGGUGUAAUGAGAACUAUUCUACAUCUAUUCUAAUUAAAGAUAAAAUUAGUUAAAUUUUUCCUUGCCUUUUUUAUUCGUUUACCUUUAAUUUAUAUAAGAAUGAUUGGUCAAUCAUUGUCUCCUAGAUUCUAGGGAAUAUAGUGUCAUUGUACUGACACAGCUAGAUGCUCAAUGACUAUAUAAAAAUGACGGCUAAAAACAAAAUAGACAAAUUACAAAUAUUUUCUAAGGAUAAUUGGGCCUAAGUAGCUCCAUUUGGUUCAUCCCUCAUCACACGCUUAGUGGAAGAAGUUCAAUUCGUCGAAGUGACUUUUUAUUUUGUAUUGGGUUAUGAACUUCUUAUGGAACAUCCCUCAUCACUUUGGAAGAAAUCUAGGUCUUAAGUUCUUUGUUUUCAAUCUACAUAAUCAAUAUAUUUCUAAUUUUUUGGGAUUUUGUGUAGAAAUUUGGGCCUCCACCCUUUUUUAGCCUUUCUAAUCAACAAAUCUCUUUUUAAAUGACGGUGGAUCAACACAUUUUUCUAUGUCUCGGUUAUCUAUGCUAAUACUUUCCAUAAUUUCUUUGGCCAAAGUCUUAUUUGCUAGACUUUCCAAAAACCAAUAAAUUCAUAUCUAUGUUUUGUUUGGUAAUGACAUUAUAAUUUUAUGUAAAGGGAUCAUGAAGUUAAUUCAAUAAAUUUAAUCGAUCUUUUAUGCCUAUCAAUUUUUAUCUUGCUAUUCCAAAGAAGAAUAUUUUUAUUAAUCAAAGUGAUUAUAUUGGUCAAUUUUACAAUUGUACUAAAAAAUUUGAAUUUGAUACCUUGAGGUAACAAUGCUAGCUCUUAUACCAUUGAGCUAGCACUUCAAUAAAUUAUUUGUGAGUUCAUAUUUUAAAAGAAAAAUUAAAGUUGAUUCAUAUAUAUGCAACCCAUUGCUAACAAAAUUAUCCAAACAUACCUUUUGGCAAGACUAUUUGCUUUAUAAGAUUGAUUAGAAAUUAUCCAAUAAGAUUGAUAAAAAAAAUACCCACCAUAGUCAUUAGGACCUAGAGUUGAGGAGUUGUUUAAAUUAAAGACAAAGAAACACAUCCCAAUGAGCAUGGCAUUAUGUGCUGCUUUAAUUAAUAAUUUUUUAUAAAAUCUAUAUAUAAAACCCUCAAUUUUAAAUUUCAAAUAACUUAAAAUGUACUAAAAAUAUUGAUAAUUUAAAUAUAUUUAUUAUUUAUAUUUAACCGAAGAGUUUUGUAUCAGGUGUCACCGUGAUGUAAAUUUGAUCUAUUGUAAUUCAAAUUCAAUUUUAAAAUAUAUAAUUUCUAAAUUGUAGUAAAUGAUAAGUAAAGUUAUAUAAUUGAAAACAUUUAAACAUUCAUCUCUCAAUGUAAAAUACAAUAUAUUCCUAAUAGUGUUUAAAACAAUUAUUAAAAUCUUUUAAUUCUUUUUUUUACUUAAAUAAUUAAUUUAAUAUUUAAAUUAAGGAUAAUUUAUAUCAGGAUACUUAUAGAUGUUACGACAUAAGAGACAAAUAUUAAUUUUUUCAUUAAACAGAGUUAUUUUAAAAAAAAUAAAUAAAAAUAAGACUACAUAAAAAUGAUUGUAUAACAUGGAAAUACCUAAAGUUAUAAUAUAUUAUUUUACUAUUUUUAUUCUCCAAUCUAAAUAAAUUUCAAUGAAAAAUAUAUUGGUAAAGUUACACACCAAGGGUAUUAUUCUCUAGAUCAAGUUGCCUCCCUUCCAUAACAUUAGGAUUCCAAGGAAAGCAUUCUUCAUAAUUCGGUUUUUCCAAACAAGGUCCUGAUUUAUAUACUUUCCAACUACAGUCGUAUUUGCAUUUAUGUGUAUCUCUGGAUUCAACAUAAAUAUCAAAGUAGUGAAAUUCAUUCAUCCAUGAAAAUCCACAAAAAUAUAAGGUGUUCUCUAACAAAAACUUAGGCCUAAAAGAGAAGGUGAAAGUUU